UACGUAGGGCGCAAGCGUUAUCCGGAUUUAUUGGGCGUAAAGAGCUCGUAGGCGGUUUGUCGCGUCUGCCGUGAAAGUCCGAGGCUCAACCUCGGAUCUGCGGUGGGUACGGGCAGACUAGAGUGAUGUAGGGGAGACUGGAAUUCCUGGUGUAGCGGUGAAAUGCGCAGAUAUCAGGAGGAACACCGAUGGCGAAGGCAGGUCUCUGGGCAUUUACUGACGCUGAGGAGCGAAAGCAUGGGGAGCGAACAGGAUUAGAAACCCUCGUAGUCC
This 273-nucleotide ribosomal RNA is filed under the name uncultured bacterium. RNAcentral's name for it is "partial 16S ribosomal RNA". It matches the Rfam family "Bacterial small subunit ribosomal RNA", at positions 524 to 796 of the family's 1533-position model. The record is from RNAcentral.